GAGAGAUUCCGUCACCACCAAAAGAGUUAAGCACAGGGACACAUUUGAAGUCUCGGAGCCGGGUGUUGGUUCCGGUAGCGAUCGAGGGAAGUUAGUACCGAAGUCCGGGAUGGAAGAUGGCGAGAAAAGCUGUGUGUAUUUCUGCGGUGCCCGUACCGCAAACCGACACAGGUAGGUAGGAAGAAGAUUCUAAGGCCAACGGGAGAAGGGUUGUUAAGGAACUCGGCAAAUUGACCCCGUAACUUCGGGAGAAGGGGUGCUCCAGAGAUGGAGCCGCAGAGAAUCGGCCCAAGCAACUGUUUACCAAAAACACAGGUUUGUGCUAAAUCGAAAGAUGACGUAUACGAGCUGACGCCUGCCCGGUGCUGGAAGGUUAAGAGGAGAUGUGCAAGCAUUGAAUCGAAGCCCCAGUGAACGGCGGCCGUAACGAUAACGGUCCUAAGGUAGCGAAAUUCCUUGUCAGGUAAGUUCUGACCCGCAUGAAAGGCGUAAUGAUUUGGGCACUGUCUCGACAGCCCGCCCGGCGAAAUUGUAGUACCGGUGAAGAUGCCGGUUAUCCGCGACAAGACGGAAAGACCCCAUGGAGCUUUACUGUAGCCUAAUACUGGGUUUCGAUGUUGCAUGCACAGGAUAGAUGGGACACUGGGAAACAAGUGCUUUGGCAUUUGUGGAGUGGCCGUUGGGAUACCAUCCUUGCGAUAUUGGAAUUCUAACCUGCGCCUUUGAAUCAAGGCGGGGGACAUUGUUAGGUGGGCAGUUUGACUGGGGCGGUCGCCUCCUAAAGAGUAACGGAGGCGUUCAAAGGUUCGCUCAGCUUGAACGGAAAUCAAGCAAAAGAGUGCAAACGCAGAAGCGAGCCUAACUGCGAGACUGACGGGUCGAGCAGUAACGAAAGUUGGAGUUAGUGAUCCGGUGGUAUGUGAGUGGAAAUGCCAUCGCUCAACGGAUAAAAGUUACCCUGGGGAUAACAGGCUGAUCUCCCCCAAGAGUCCACAUCGACGGGGAGGUUUGGCACCUCGAUGUCGGCUCAUCGCAUCCUGGGGCUGUAUUCGGUCCCAAGGGUUUGGCUUCGCCAAUUAAAGCGGUACGCGAGCUGGGUUCAGAACGUCGUGAGACAGUUCGGUCCCUAUCUGUCGUGGGCGCAGGAUAUUUGAUGGGAGCUGUUCCUAGUACGAGAGGACCGGAGCGGACGUACCUCUGGCGCACCAGUUGUUCUGCCAAGGGCAUAGCUGGGCAACUAUGUACGGAUCGGAUAAACGCUGAAAGCAUCUAAGCGUGAAGCCGACCCAAAGAUAAGAUAUCCCAUUGUUUCAAACAAGUAAGACCCCUUGAAGACUACAAGGUUGAUAGGCAUGAUGUGUAAGUGGAGUGAUCCAUUCAGCAAGCGUGUACUAAUAGGUCGAGGGCUUGACC
RNAcentral lists this ribosomal RNA (1413 nucleotides) under metagenome. RNAcentral describes it as "bacterial LSU rRNA". It matches the Rfam family "Bacterial large subunit ribosomal RNA", at positions 1430 to 2925 of the family's 2925-position model. The record is from RNAcentral.